This 307-nucleotide ribosomal RNA is filed under the name uncultured bacterium. RNAcentral describes it as "partial 16S ribosomal RNA". It matches the Rfam family "Bacterial small subunit ribosomal RNA", at positions 506 to 807 of the family's 1533-position model. The record is from RNAcentral.
AGACAGCAGUAGCCGCGGGAAUACGAAGGGUGCAAGCGUUACUCGGAAUUACUGGGCGUAAAGCGUGCGUAGGUGGUGGUUUAAGUCCGUUGUGAAAGCCCUGGGCUCAACCUGGGAAUUGCAGUGGAUACUGGGUCACUAGAGUGUGGUAGAGGAUAGUGGAAUUUCCGGUGUAGCAGUGAAAUGCGUAGAGAUCGGAAGGAACAUCUGUGGCGAAGGCGACUAUCUGGGCCAACAUUGACACUGAGGCACGAAAGCGUGGGGAGCAAACAGGAUUAGAUACCCCCGUAGUCCCUGUCUCUUAUAC